Molecule: ribosomal RNA, 460 nt
Filed under: uncultured bacterium
Lineage: Bacteria
Description: partial 16S ribosomal RNA
Rfam family: Bacterial small subunit ribosomal RNA
Source: RNAcentral
CCUACGGGUGGCAGCAGUGAGGAAUAUUGGUCAAUGGACGAGAGUCUGAACCAGCCAAGUAGCGUGAAGGAUGACUGCCCUAUGGGUUGUAAACCUCUUUUAUAAAGGAAUAAAACGAGGCACGUGUGCCUUUUUGCAUGUACUUUAUGAAUAAGGAUCGGCUAACUCCGUGCCAGCAGCCGCGGUAAUACGGAGGAUCCGAGCGUUAUCCGGAUUUAUUGGGUUUAAAGGGAGCGUAGAUGGGUUGUUAAGUCAGUUGGGAAAGUUUGCGGCUCAAACGUAAAAUUGCAAUUGAUACUGGCAGUCUUGAGUGCAGUUGAGGUAUGCGGAAUGCGUGGUGUAGCGGUGAAAUGCUUAGAUAUCACGAAGAACCCCGAUUGCGAAGGCAGCUUACUAAACUGUGACUGACAUUGAUGCUCGAAAGUGUGGGUAUCAAACAGGAUUAGAUACCCCUGUAGUC